AGUGAACGCUGGCGGUAGGCCUAACACAUGCAAGUCGAACGGCAGCACAGGAGAGCUUGCUCUCUGGGUGGCGAGUGGCGGACGGGUGAGGAAUACAUCGGAAUCUGCCCAGUCGUGGGGGAAAACGAGGGAAAACUAAGUUAAUUACGCCUUACAACCUUCGGGGGAAGAGGGGGGAUGGAAAGACCCUUCGGGCUGGGUUAAGCGAUGUCGGAUUAGCUAGUUGGCGGGGUAAUGGCCCCCCAAGGCGACGAUCCGUAGCUGGUCUGAGAGGAUGAUCAGCCACACUGGAACUGAGACACGGUCCAGACUCCUACGGGAGGCAGCAGUGGGGAAUAUUGGACAAUGGGCGCAGGCCUGAUCCAGCCAUACCGCGUGGGUGAAGAAGGCCUUCGGGUUGUAAAGCCCUUUUGUUGGGAAAGAAAUCUUUCAGGCUAAUACCCUGGGAGGAUGACGGUACCCAAAGAAUAAGCACCGGCUAACUUCGUG
This 489-nucleotide ribosomal RNA is filed under the name uncultured bacterium. Its description in RNAcentral is "partial 16S ribosomal RNA". It matches the Rfam family "Bacterial small subunit ribosomal RNA", at positions 29 to 507 of the family's 1533-position model. The record is from RNAcentral.